Molecule: ribosomal RNA, 465 nt
Filed under: uncultured Klebsiella sp.
Lineage: Bacteria; Pseudomonadati; Pseudomonadota; Gammaproteobacteria; Enterobacterales; Enterobacteriaceae
Description: bacterial SSU rRNA
Rfam family: Bacterial small subunit ribosomal RNA
Source: RNAcentral
CCUACGGGGGGCUGCAGUGGGGAAUAUUGCACAAUGGGCGCAAGCCUGAUGCAGCCAUGCCGCGUGUGUGAAGAAGGCCUUCGGGUUGUAAAGCACUUUCAGCGGGGAGGAAGGCGUUAAGGUUAAUAACCUUGGCGAUUGACGUUACCCGCAGAAGAAGCACCGGCUAACUCCGUGCCAGCAGCCGCGGUAAUACGGAGGGUGCAAGCGUUAAUCGGAAUUACUGGGCGUAAAGCGCACGCAGGCGGUCUGUCAAGUCGGAUGUGAAGUCCCCGGGCUCAACCUGGGAACUGCAUUCGAAACUGGCAGGCUAGAGUCUUGUAGAGGGGGGUAGAAUUCCAGGUGUAGCGGUGAAAUGCGUAGAGAUCUGGAGGAAUACCGGUGGCGAAGGCGGCCCCCUGGACAAAGACUGACGCUCAGGUGCGAAAGCGUGGGGAGCAAACAGGAUUAGAUACCCCGGUAGUC